AUUACCAUGAGCAAAUCAGAGUGUUUAAAGCAGGCUUUUAAGCUUGAAUGUGUUAGCAUGGAAUAAUGAAAUAUGACUUUAGUCCUAUUUUCGUUGGUUUAGGUACUUCAGUAAUGAUGAAUAGAAACGGUUAGGGGCAUUUGUAUUUGGUCGCUAGAGGUGAAAUUCUUGGAUUG
Molecule: ribosomal RNA, 176 nt
Filed under: Rhizopus arrhizus
Lineage: Eukaryota; Fungi; Mucoromycota; Mucoromycetes; Mucorales; Rhizopodaceae
Description: Rhizopus oryzae partial 18S ribosomal RNA
Rfam family: Eukaryotic small subunit ribosomal RNA
Source: RNAcentral